Molecule: long non-coding RNA, 407 nt
Organism: Cervus elaphus (red deer)
Lineage: Eukaryota; Metazoa; Chordata; Mammalia; Artiodactyla; Cervidae
Exons: 3
Source: RefSeq, a predicted model, not a curated record
UAUGUUUUGACAUAUACAACAUUGGGAGCAUGUAGAGAUGGUCCCUACUCAGAAAAUUUACUGAUUACUGAGUGAAUUGAAGCAUUAAAGACUGUGAUUACUUACAGCACAAGAUGGAAAAAGAUAUCAUCUGAGAGAAGCUGAGUUGGACAAAAGGAAUAACAUAAAAUUGUAGGUGCUGGUUAAUAAGGCACACUGCAUGACAGGAAAUUCCAGAAUCUUAUAUUUCUCAAGUUUUCCCCCCAAAGUCUUCAGUUCUAUAACAUAGUGAAAUUGUUUAAUGACUUUGUGGUAACAGACGUGGACUAGGACUGUACCUGGAAAAUGGGAGGUCAGAGGAAUGUCUUUCUCAAGAGCACCUGUUGGGAGAGGUACCUCCAGAACAUUCUUGCUUCUGCUGUGCUGAA